This 440-nucleotide ribosomal RNA is filed under the name uncultured bacterium. RNAcentral's name for it is "partial 16S ribosomal RNA". It matches the Rfam family "Bacterial small subunit ribosomal RNA", at positions 338 to 795 of the family's 1533-position model. The record is from RNAcentral.
CCUACGGGUGGCAGCAGUGAGGAAUAUUGGACAAUGGGGGAAACCCUGAACCAGCAACGCCGCGUGAAGGAAGACGGUUUUCGGAUUGUAAACCUCUGUCCUCUGUGAAGAGAGUGACGGUAUCAGAGGAGUAGGCUCCGGCUAACUACGUGCCAGCAGCCGCGGUAAGACGUAGGGCUGAAGCGUUGUGCGGAUUUACUGGGUGUAAAGGGUGCGUAGGCGGCUUUGCAAGUCAGAUGUGAAAUCCAUGGGCUUAACCCGUGAAGUGCAUUUGAUACUGCAGAGCUUGAGUGGAGUAGAGGUAGGUGGAAUUCCCGGUGUAGCGGUGAAAUGCGUAGAGAUCUGGAGGAACACCAGUGGCGAAGGCGGCCUGCUGGGCUCUAACUGACGCUGAUGUACGAAAGCGUGGGUAGCAAACAGGAUUAGAUACCCUAGUAGUC